GGAAUCUUCCACAAUGGACGCAAGUCUGAUGGAGCAACGCCGCGUGAGUGAAGAAGGUUUUCGGAUCGUAAAACUCUGUUGUUGGAGAAGAACACGUUUGAGAGUAACUGUUCAGACGUUGACGGUAUCCAACCAGAAAGCCACGGCUAACUACGUGCCAGCAGCCGCGGUAAUACGUAGGUGGCAAGCGUUGUCCGGAAUUACUGGGUGUAAAGGGAGCGCAGGCGGGGAAGCAAGUCAGUGGUGAAAUGCAUGGGCUUAACCCAUGAACUGCCAUUGAAACUGUUUUUCUUGAGUGGAUCAGAGGCAAGCGGAAUUCCGAGUGUAGCGGUGAAAUGCGUAGAUAUUCGGAGGAAGACCAGUGGCGAAGGCGGCUUGCUGGGGUCUAACUGACGCUGAGGCUCGAAAGUGUGGGGAGCAAACA
RNAcentral lists this ribosomal RNA (424 nucleotides) under uncultured bacterium. Its description in RNAcentral is "bacterial SSU rRNA". It matches the Rfam family "Bacterial small subunit ribosomal RNA", at positions 358 to 774 of the family's 1533-position model. The record is from RNAcentral.